Molecule: ribosomal RNA, 247 nt
Filed under: Klebsiella pneumoniae
Lineage: Bacteria; Pseudomonadati; Pseudomonadota; Gammaproteobacteria; Enterobacterales; Enterobacteriaceae
Description: partial 16S ribosomal RNA
Rfam family: Bacterial small subunit ribosomal RNA
Source: RNAcentral
ACUUAAAUUGAAGAGUUUGAUCAUGGCUCAGAUUGAACGCUGGCGGCAGGCCUAACACAUGCAAGUCGAGCGGUAGCACAGAGAGCUUGCUCUCGGGUGACGAGCGGCGGACGGGUGAGUAAUGUCUGGGAAACUGCCUGAUGGAGGGGGAUAACUACUGGAAACGGUAGCUAAUACCGCAUAAUGUCGCAAGACCAAAGUGGGGGACCUUCGGGCCUCAUGCCAUCAGAUGUGCCCAGAUGGGAUU